UACAGAGAGCUGCAAGCGUUUGAUUCGGAAUUCACUGGGCGUAAAGGGUGCGCAGGCGGCCAAGUGUAGUCAGGUGUGAAAUCCCGAGGCUUAACCUCGGAACUGCGCCUGAAACUACUUGGCUAGAGUACGUGGAGAGGGAUAACGGAAUUCACGGUGUAGCAGUGAAAUGCGAUACGAUAUCGAUGAGGAACACCAGGAGGCGAAGGCGGUUACCUGGACAGUUACAUGACCGCUC
RNAcentral lists this ribosomal RNA (238 nucleotides) under uncultured bacterium. Its description in RNAcentral is "partial 16S ribosomal RNA". It matches the Rfam family "Bacterial small subunit ribosomal RNA", at positions 524 to 748 of the family's 1533-position model. The record is from RNAcentral.